This 425-nucleotide ribosomal RNA is filed under the name uncultured bacterium. RNAcentral's name for it is "partial 16S ribosomal RNA". It matches the Rfam family "Bacterial small subunit ribosomal RNA", at positions 354 to 796 of the family's 1533-position model. The record is from RNAcentral.
GUGGGGAAUAUUGCACAAUGGGGGAAACCCUGAUGCAGCGACGCCGCGUGGAGGAUGACGGCCUUCGGGUUGUAAACUCCUUUUGUCAGGGACAAUGGUGAUGGUACCUGACGAAUAAGCCACGGCUAACUCUGUGCCAGCAGCCGCGGUAAGAAAGAGGUGGCGAGCGUUGUUCGGAAUUACUGGGCUUAAAGGGCGCGUAGGCGGUGGUGUAAGUCUGGGGUGGAAUGCUACAGCUCAACUGUAGAGCUGCCUUGGAAACUGCAUUACUUGAGUCGGUGAGGGGAAGGCGGAAUUCCUGGUGUAGCGGUGAAAUGCGUAGAUAUCAGGAGGAAGGUCUGUGGCGAAGGCGGCCUUCUGGCACUUGACUGACGCUGAGGCGCGAAAGCGUGGGGAGCAAACAGGAUUAGAUACCCGAGUAGUCC